This is a long non-coding RNA of Grus americana (Whooping crane), 714 nucleotides long. RefSeq lists it as uncharacterized. The record is from RefSeq and is a predicted model, not a curated record. NCBI's taxonomy places the organism in Eukaryota, Metazoa, Chordata, Aves, Gruiformes, Gruidae. The transcript is spliced from 3 exons.
GGAGCCUGAAGGGAAAGCAUGGCAGUGAGGGAAAAGCAGCUCUGGUCAGGACUUCUGCAUUUCUCCACGUAGCAAGAACAGCCUUCUUUAACUGCAAUGUUAUUAAUUCAGGAACCGAAACAUCUUUUGCUUGUUGCAUCUCCACUGAAGUCAACAUUUACAUGCAAGAGUUGGGAGCAGUGGCUGGCGCGCUGUCUGUUGCCAGUUCUUUUUCCGUGCCUCUACUGAUAGGUGGGUGAGACAGGACGGUUGUUUCACAUGGGGAAAGAACUACAGGCAAUAUUACCAAAUCGGGAUUGUGACACUGGAAGAUGCCCAUGAGUCAGCACUGGGACCUGUAUAGUUGAAGUGCCGCCUGCAGAAUCAAAGGGCAAAGACUCAAUUAACUCCAGGGAUAGAGAAGCCUUAUUCAAUAUCUCACAUCUUGUUCUAUAAUCUGCAGAUACAUAACAUGAAUUUCCAGGGGAUGUUUGCUUGAGGGUUGAGCAGAAGGAAAGAUCCCAACAUCCUAGCCUGUUAUUUUGUUUCACCAUAGACUCAUUAGCAGUUAGGAAAAAUGUUUUAUAAGCGAUCACAUUAUUUGUUUGUUCAAACCUGUAUUGUAAUGUGAAUUAGAUGCCAGUGAAAAUACAGAAUAAUCUUUCCUGUUUAAAGAACCAAAGCUGCACAGUGUAGACCUCAAUUUCCCUGAAGUCUGUGGUAUUUAUUUAAAUA